AGAACCUGAAACCGUAUGUCUACAAGCAGUCGGAGCGAAAGCGACGGCGUGCCUAUUGAAGAAUGAGCCAACGAGUUGCGUGUGCUGGCGAGGUUAAGCAGAAGAUGCGGAGCCGUAGGGAAACCGAGUCUGAACAGGGCGUCAAGUCAGUAUACGCAGACCCGAAACUGCAGUGAUCUACGCAGGGCCAGGUUGAAACGCAGGUAAAAUUGCGCGGAGGACCGAACCGGGACAUGUUGAAAAAUGUUCGGAUGAGCUGUGCGUAGGGGUGAAAUUCCAAUCGAACGCAGAGAUAGCUGGUUCUCCUCGAAAUAGCUUUAGGGCUAGCCUCAGGCAGUAAGCGCAGGCGGUAGAGCACUGAUCGGGAUAGGGACUGUAAUGGUUACCGAACCCUGUCAAACUCCGAAUGGCAGCGCUGCAGAGCCUGGGAGUCAGACUACGAGUGAUAAGAUCCGUGGUCAAAAGGGAAACAGCCCAGACCAUCAGCUAAGGUCCCCAAUGCCGUACUAAGUGGAAAAGGAUGUGGGGUUUCAUAAACAACCAGGAUGUUGGCUCAGAAGCAGCCACCAUUUAAAGAGUGCGUAAUAGCUCACUGGUCGAGAGACCCUGCGCCGAAGAUUCCCGGGGCUAAAGUACGGAACCGAAGCUAUGGAUGCAUGCUUGGCAUGCGUGGUAGAGGAGCGUUCCCGUCGGGUUGAAGUCGUCCUGUAAGGGACGGUGGACGGACGGGAAGUGAGAAUGUUGGCAUGAGUAGCGAAAAGAACGGUGAGAAUCCGUUCCACCGAAAACACAAGGAUUCCUGAGCAACGAUCGUCGUCUCAGGGUAAGUCGGGACCUAAUCCGAGGCAUGGAGCGUAGGAGAUGGACAUCCGGUUGAAAUUCCGGAACCGGCAGGAAUCGUCAAGAGCAACGGAGUGACACAGGAAGGCAGGCGCGCAUGAGAUUGGAAGUUCAUGUGCAAGCGUGCGACGCGCGGGACAGGCAAACCCGUCCCGCACAAGCGCCAGGCGUGACGCGGAGGGAACCGCAAGGGACCCGAAGGCGCCGGACCUACACUGUCGAGAAAAGCUUCUAGCAAGAGACCUGCCGCCCGUACCGUAAACCGACACAGGUGUGUGGGGAGAGAAUCCUAAGGUGCGCGGGAGAACCCUCGUUAAGGAACUCGGCAAAAUGUACCCGUAACUUCGGGAUAAGGGUAGCCAUCUGGUGUGAAGGGACUAGCUCCCGGAGCGCCGGAAGGCCGCAGAGAAGAGGCCCAAGCGACUGUUUACCAAAAACUUAGGUGCCUGCCAAAGCGAAAGCUGACGUAUAGGUGCUGACACCUGCCCAGUGCCGGAAGGUUAAGGAAGGAGGUCCGGGUUCGACCCAAAGCCUUCGACCGAAGCCCCGGUGAACGGCGGCCGUAACUAUAACGGUCCUAAGGUAGCGAAAUUCCUUGUCGGGUAAGUUCCGACCCGCACGAAAGGUGUAACGAUUUGGGCGCUGUCUCAACGAGGGACCCGGUGAAAUUGAAAUACCUGUGAAGAUGCAGGUUACCCGCGACUGGACAGAAAGACCCCAUGGAGCUUUACUGUAACCUGACAUUGGGUUCUGAUACUGCAUGCACAGGAUAGGUGGGAGGCACGGAAGCAUGCCCUUCGGGGUAUGCAGAGCCGCCGUUGGGAUACCACCCUUGCGAUAUCGGAAUUCUAACCGGAACGGUAACGACGUUCGGGACAGUGUCAGGCGGGCAGUUUGACUGGGGCGGUCGCCUCCCAAAGUGUAACGGAGGCGCCCAAAGGUUCCCUCAGCGCGGCCAGAAAUCGCGCGCAGAGUGCAAAGGCAGAAGGGAGCUUGACUGCGAGUCGGACAGGACGAGCAGGGACGAAAGUCGGGCUUAGUGAUCCGGUGGCAUCCA
RNAcentral lists this ribosomal RNA (1897 nucleotides) under human gut metagenome. Its description in RNAcentral is "bacterial LSU rRNA". It matches the Rfam family "Bacterial large subunit ribosomal RNA", at positions 545 to 2432 of the family's 2925-position model. The record is from RNAcentral.